Molecule: non-coding RNA, 80 nt
Organism: Podarcis lilfordi (Lilford's wall lizard)
Lineage: Eukaryota; Metazoa; Chordata; Lepidosauria; Squamata; Lacertidae
Source: the annotation of a GenBank genome assembly
UUGCCCACCUGGUAGCUCAGCCAGCGGAGCACGAGACUCUUGAUCUCAGGGUCAUGGAUUUGAGCCCCAAAUUGGGCAAA